Long non-coding RNA from Aethalodelphis obliquidens (Pacific white-sided dolphin), 2829 nucleotides. RefSeq lists it as uncharacterized. Lineage: Eukaryota; Metazoa; Chordata; Mammalia; Artiodactyla; Delphinidae. The transcript has 3 exons. The record is from RefSeq and is a predicted model, not a curated record.
UUCCCCUCCUCACCUCCUCUUUUCCUCGCCUUGGCCCCCGCCCCCACUUCUUCCCCUGGGAUGGGAGUGGGGUGAGGUUUGGGGGAGGGAUCCUGCGGGCAGAGAAAGGGAGAGGAAAAAGUUAAGGAAUCCCAAACGGAACUAAAGUUUCUCCUCUCCUGCGUCCUCUUUCGUCGGUCUCGGCCCUUGGGGCUGGGAGCUCAGCUCGGGACCUCCCGUCACGGAAGUUGGUUGAGUUGCAAGUUCCCCGUGGGGAUUGACGGGGAAUCUCCAGUGUCUGGGGCAGGCCAGGGAGGAGGUCAAGAUGACUUCAGGGCUGCUUGGGAGAGGGGGAUUCCGAGGGGACUGAGGGGUCGCGGGAGGAGGAGGCCGGCAACCAGAGGCACCGGCUCCCCGACCAGGGAGCGCGGCCUGGGCCUGGCUGGGUGGGCGGCUCCUGGGUUAUCAACUCAGGGGCAGGAAGGCUUUGGCCUUGGAGCCGGUUCGGCUGCUCUGCUCCAGGCCCUGGCGGCCCUCGCUUUCCAGUUGACCUUGCCCCCACGAAAACAGGGAGCAUUCCCAGAGAGAAAGAGGGAACCCUCGGGGCCUCGGGCGGUUUGGGGGAGUCACGUAUCAACCGGGAAACCAAGGCAACGGACGCGACAAAAUGCGACCCUGAGAAGUGUCCUUCAACAGAGCGAUUUUUUUAAGAAAGGGAAGCGAGAAAUAAGGGACAAGGAAACGGAAUCUGGAGUAUAACUUGUCUUUCCGGUCGCCCCACAUUUUCCCCUGGACCGAGCCAUGGGUUUCGACUUUACGAAGGGCUGGAGCCUGGCCGGGAAAAGACCAGAGCUCCAAGACGCCCUGGCGCGGAGGAGUGAGAAGGCUGGAUCGCUUCUAGGGAGGCCCAAACCCGCGGCUGCUAGAAGACGACUUCGGAAAGAAAUCCUCCGAAAUCUGUCAUCCAGAGGGCGAGAGAAAAGGCGCAGGGGUCCCCGAACCCCGGGAAAACUGGAAGAGAAUGUUUAAUGUGUGACUUGCUGGCAGGGCCAGCCAGGGGAGAUUUGAAAUGCUUUCGUGUUUUCAUUUACAGAGGUCGCCAUGGGCUCGGCACAAGGGGUUGGCCCCGGCAAGGUUAGCCCGUUUAGGCCCCAGAUGAGACUUGGGACGGCCCCGGUGGCAGUCAAUCCAGGGAGCCAUUUGUCCCACCCCGCGGGAAACGCAGACACUUUAUGGCCACUCUGUUUGUAUUAUCUGCGUAAGUCUUUCCCCACCAGUUUGAUCGAAACUGUUCGCUUUUACGAGGACCCAACGAAAAUUCCCCGUCAUAUUUAUCAGCCGAGGAUAAAAAUUUAGUAUGGGAACUGAUAUUUCCUCAUUUAUGGGGCGAUGAAAUUAAAGACCAAAGCAAUUGAGAAUUAUAUGGCUUUGGGGGGGUUCCCUCCCCCCUCUUUCACAUCUCCUUUAUUUUCCUGCCUGGUGUCCCUGUCCCUGGAGUUUGGCAUCCCAGUCUCCUGCCCUUGCCCCCCAUAUUGGGGUCUGCUGGGCCCUCUCCCCCAGACCCAGGUGCCGCUCGACCACCUCAGCUUCUCCUGGUCUUUCUCUCUGUGUUAGUAGCUGGGGGCCGGGACAGCAUUCCCUGAGCCUCUCUGCCCAGGCCAGGCUGGGAUCGGGUGGGGCUGCGGAAGGUUUCCAAGAGCCUCGAAGUGGAAGGGUCUGGGCCCAGCCUGGGAGGGGGUGAGGGAGGCGGCAGAGUGAAGGAGACAAACUCCAGAUAACCUCUCAAAAACGUCAAGCCCCACGGCUUAACCUGGGGAACCAGCGGUAGAGAAGCAGAGUCACUCGGCUUUGAGACCUGUCUCCCCUACCAGCCUGACCCCCAUCCCAAACUCACUCCUUACCUCAGCCCUGAGUGGGGAUGGAGUCGCUUUCAGAAUCCUUGCCAUUAUUAAUGGAAACAAUCCCCCUGGGAGAAGGAGUCUCGCGCCUCUACUCCCAUCUCCUCACAAGAACGAAUAGUGUUUAAAGUUGAAAUAAUUAGAAGUAUGAUAAACAUGGCCCAUUAAUGAAAAAAGAAAUCAAAUUCAUCAGCCUAAGUGGGACCCCCGGUGGGACAAAUGUUUGCCUUUAAUUACGCAGGAAAAACGCAAACCCGGAGCUGUUAAACAAGAACCGGAAGACGCCGACUUGAAUAACUUGUUGGGUUUUUGCAAACUUGGGAUUCUGCACCAGUGGAGACGAAAGGAAGGAAGACGUGAGGGAGUGCUGCAUCUAUGCCUGACUCCCCGGGGCUCCCUCUUCUUGCCUCAACUUGGGGGAUGUGAAAAUCCGGGGGCUUCAGGCCAGAUCGGCUCAGGCUGCACCUACCUUUUGACCAACCCCUCUACCCCGAGAGCUCUGGUCCCCGUGCCCUUCUUCCCGGUACCUAGACCCUGGAAGUGCAGCAGGGAUGAGCAGCUGGGCCUCCUGCCGCCCGUGGGACUGUGACCAAGGGAGAGGUGAAGGGUGCUCCUCACAGACUUCAGGGUGGUCAGCGGGUUCCAGACGGCAGGCUGAGGACUGGGGCGCUAGGGGUCCCCAUGUGAAAACAGAAGAAGGAAAAUCUAGUGCUCAGUGAACAGAAAGGAACCUCGGCUGCUUUCCAGGCUCUAGCCCUCAAAGCACCCCAGAGGCACCCUGAUUUCUCCAAGGAAAAUUAGUGGAGCUUCCCCACAAGGCUAAGGACGCCAUCUAGGAAAUUCCAAAGGUGAGGUGAAAAGAAGGAAGAGUGUCUUUCCCUUUGGGAUAAAAUAAUAAAAUAAUUAUACUGUGUGUGUGUGUGUGUGUGUGUGUGUGUGUGUGUGUGUGUGU